CAAAUAUCGUGACAUCUCUCAUUAAAGCGUAUAUUCGAUCUGUUCUUCGUUUGACGACAAUAGUUUCUCUUUUCAACACAAGAGAGUUUAACUUGAUAUAUUUAAGAAAAAGAUUUUAUAGAGUCCAUUUGCGGAAUUCUAGCGACGUGAGUGGUUGCGUUUUGCAUUGUCUGGGCUCGUGGAAAUAUUUGUAUUAUAAUUAUAUUUUAAAAAAUAUUAUUUAAAGUCACGACGGCUUUUGAUUUCGUAAAGUGUUAUUAUGUAUGAAAAAAUUUUUAAAUAAAAAGUGUAAGGCAAUAUCUAAAUAAAAAUUGCAUUACCGAAUUUGGAAGAUACAUUAAAAAUGGGUGAACAAUCUAAAACGCAGUAUACCGAUAGAAAUGAUUAAUUUUGGAAAGCACUAUUCCAUUCGCAACAUUUAUGGAAUCCCUCACGCAUAUUCUUUUCUUAGCUUGAUCAAUUUCCUGCAUCAAAAUCCAAUAACCUAAAAAGCUAGAGAAAGCGUCAAGGACUAUUCUCAUUAAGAUUUAUCGAUAAAUAUUAUUCACGUGGUUGAAAAUCGAUAUAUUCGAACAUAUUUAAGUAAUCAACGAUGCAAAUUGCAA
Molecule: long non-coding RNA, 605 nt
Organism: Teleopsis dalmanni
Lineage: Eukaryota; Metazoa; Arthropoda; Insecta; Diptera; Diopsidae
Exons: 3
Source: RefSeq, a predicted model, not a curated record